Long non-coding RNA from Setaria italica (foxtail millet), 2231 nucleotides. RefSeq lists it as uncharacterized. The transcript has 8 exons. Lineage: Eukaryota; Viridiplantae; Streptophyta; Magnoliopsida; Poales; Poaceae. The record is from RefSeq and is a predicted model, not a curated record.
AUGGGCGGCGGCCGGAGUGUGGCGUCGCGACCUCCUUUCCCGUCUCCGCCUCCCCCCUCCCUCCAUCGCGCCUGCUCCAUCUCGGCCUCGGCGCCCCCGCGCGGGAGGCGGCGGCCGCCGCGCCGCGACUCCGGCGGUUCGAGCCGACCCGGCCUCGAUCCGCGCCAGUGCCCGGCGGCCGCGCCCCUAUCUCCGGGGGGCACGUGUUCUGGCGGACGGAGAAGGACGAGGACGAGAGGGGCCUCGAGGCAACGGAGGCCGCCGUGCGCGUGGUCGCCACGUCCGACUGCAUCGAGGAGGACAACACGGCGGCCGCAUCCACGGCGGUGUCCCUGGCACGCGUGAUGCGCCGAGCCACAGCUCGCGGAGCUGGUUCGCCUCAUCGGCUCCGCCGACUUGAAGAGCGGGCUUGACUGGGGCACCAGGGCGACGGGGCUGUCGUGCCUCGUGGCCGUCGCGGCGACGCGGCGGGGCCCCGACUCCGGCCUUCCCCAUCGAUCCAUGGAGAGGGUGCACAUCGGCGACCUCGUCUUCUACUUCCUGCAGGGACACCUCGAGCAGGUUCAAAAUUUAGAGUUCAAUAGAGAGAUUGACAUGAGCUCUAUGAGUUCAGCGGAACUGCAAUUGUUCAGUGCAAUUGAUUCAAUUUGUGGUGUAGAGAUGUAGUUGUUUGAACUUGUGCAGAGAGCUUCCACAUCAUCUCACUCUAAUGUACGCUAUUCUGUCUUUUCUGGGUUCAAUCUUCUGUAGGUGUAUGUGUAUCCCAUCAAUACUUGCGACAUCUUUUUUUCUUUUCUGCACGUAACAGAAAUUAUCAUUUGAUGUGCUCAUGAAAACAUAUGACAUAGCCUUGAUGGAUCAAGAUUUUCUUUCACAAAUUCCCUGGCACUAUGCAAUUAUUGAUGAGGCCCAACGUCUAAACAAUCCAUCCAGUUAGCACGGAAGCUCAGACUUUCAGUACUGUUUGGGAAAAGAAACAUCUUCACUUUCGAGCGCUGUAUUGGUAGAGCAUAAUGACAGAGGUACUGUAUAAUGUCCUUGAGCAACGCUUCAUCAUGCCAAGACGUCUACUACUAACAGGCACUCCUAUCCAGAACAACCUUUCUGAAUUAUGGGCGUUGAUGCACUUUUGUUUGCCUUCAAUAUUUGGAAAGCUAGAUGAGUUCCUUUCCACCUUCAAGGAAGCAGGGGACUCAUUAACGGGUAUUACUUUCAAAUUCUAGAGGGGCGCAUUUUAGCAUAUGUCAAUUGCCAGGUGAAUUGCUGUUGGAUGCUUAAUGUUUUUACUUCUUGAUUCCUUUCGGCGUCCUUCAAAAGACAUUCAAAGUUGAGAUCAAUACUUACAGCCGGAGUGAGGUUGUUGCCAUGGAGUGGCUGGUUCAGGAGGCCCUGAACUUCAAGUGUUUCGUCACAACAACUCACCAUUUCCUCUGGUUCUAUCUGAAGGCUGCAAAGGCAGAUGACAGGGUAGUGGACCUGGCAAAAUACCUGUCCUUGCUCUCACUUCUCAAACAUAAGCAGCUCUCCUUCUGGCCCUAAACUGUGGCAGCCGCUGUGGUAGCCCUUGCUUGCCUUGCCACAGACAAGGAGUCCUAAUGCCAUUUAGUCAUGGAGACUCACAUGAGGACGCAGGAUGACGAUCUGCCUAAAUGUAUAAUGAGCCUACAGUGGCUGAUCAACUACGCUUCGUGAUACCCGUGACUCCCAGGUGACGAAAUUGAUCCACAGUUUCCUGAUUCCAAGUUACGCAGCACAGUUCAAGCGGUCAGACGGGCAUGAGGAUGUGUAGGCCAUACGUGAAUCUUAGCAUUAACAGAUUAUUCUGUACAUGCCAUAAGCCAAGGCAGCAUAAAACGAAGCCUGUGAUUAAACGACUUUCUGGCUAGGAGCAAGGCAAGGAUCGAGAGUUUGGUAUUGAGAUGUCGGCCUUUAGGAACUACUGAAUGACCUAUUGCGCUGUCUAUUAUCCUUGGGUAGGCUUGGUUGUCGCCACGUCGGGGAAAAAAUGGGGAAAGCAGACGGUGGUCGGUGGAUGGAUGACUGUGCUUCACUGCACUUGUGCCAUGCCACGACUUCUACUGUAGUUUACUGUAGUUGAUGUUAAGGCAUUCAGUAUUACUGAUGAUGUCUCUGUUGUUUCAUAUGUAGUAUUUGUUGAUAUCUUCCUAUAAGUUUCAUAUUUGGUGGUAAUUGUUGUUUCCUUCGUAAUGGUGAUGGAGUAAUGGUCUUUU